AGGGCGGACGGGGGAUCCCUUGGCAGUCGGAGGCGAUGAAGGGCGCGGCCAGCUGCGAAAAGCCUCGGGGAGCCGCUGAGCGGGCUAUGAUCCGGGGAUACCCGAAUGGGGAAACCCCCUGGGCUGUGGAGGCCCAGGAUCCAGGGCCGAAAUUCCAAGUAAGCUCUGGAGGCGAACCCCGCGAAGUGAAACAUCUCAGUAGCGGGAGGAGGAGAAAUCAACCGAGAUUCCCCCAGUAGCGGCGAGCGAACGGGGAACAGCCCAAACCACCAGGUUGCAAGGCCCCAGCCGUUUUCCUGGUGGGGUUGGGGGAUGGUGACGGGGGUUUCUGGGGAAGCCCCGGGGAGUUACCAAGGUCUUCUUUAGCCGAACAGCCAGCAAAGCCACUGGAAAGGGCGACCGGAGAAGGUGACAGUCCUGUAGGCGAAAGGGAAGGCCCUCCUCGGUGACCAUCCCGAGUAACGUCGGACACGGGAAAUCCGGCGUGAAGCUGGGGGGACCACCCUCCAAGGCUAAAUACUCCCGACUGACCGAUAGUGCACCAGUACCGCGAGGGAAAGGUGAAAAGGACCCCGGGAGGGGAGUGAAAUAGAACGUGAAACCGUCCGCCUACAGUGCAGUGGGAGCCGGGAACCCAGCCCGCAAGGGCCAGGAACCUGGUGACCGCGUGCCUUUUGCAGUAUGAGCCGGCGAGUUGUGGUCCGUGGCGAGGUUAAGGCCUUCUGGGCCGAAGCCGCAGCGAAAGCGAGUCCGAACAGGGCGCCCAGUCACGGGUCACAGACCCGAAACCAGGUGAUCUACCCAUGGGCAGGGUGAAGUGCGCUUAACCGCGCACGGAGGCCCGAACUGGUUGGUCGUGCAACGCCAUCGGAUGACCUGUGGGUAGGGGUGAAAGGCCAAUCGCACCUGGUGAUAUCUGGCUCUCCCCGAAAUGGCUUUAGGGUCAGCCUCACGCCAGAGGCGGCCGGGGGUAGAGUGCUGGCUGGGGAAGGGGGGCAACUCCCAACCCCAUUCAAACUCCGAAUACCGGUGCGCCGUUCCGUGGGAGUGAGUCUACGAGGGAUAACCUUCGUGGACGAGGGCGAAACAACGCAGACCACCAGCUAAGGCCCCCAAAUCCAGGCUCAGUGGGGAAGGCGGUGUGGUUGCUCAAACAGCUGGGAGGUUGGCUUAGAAGCAGCCAUCCUUUAAAGAGUGCGUAAUAGCUCACCAGUCUAGUGAUCGCGCGCCGAAGAUGUACCGGGGCUAAGCCUGGUGCCGAAGCUGUGGGUGGGCUCUCUUCGGAGAGUCCGCGGUAGGGGAGCAUUCCGCCCUAGGUGGAAGCCGGGUCGCGAGGCCCGGUGGACGAAGCGGAAGAGAGAAUGCCGGCUUGAGUAGCGUAAGACGGGUGAGAAUCCCGUCCACCGAAUGCCUAAGGUUUCCUGGGGAAGGCUCAUCCCCCCAGGGUUAGGCGGGCCUAAGCCGAAGCCGAAAGGCGUAGGCGAUGGACAGCCGGUCAAUAUUCCGGCCCCUCCGGAUUGGCGUUACGAGCGAAGGGGGGACGCCGCAGGAUUUCCUCCGCAGGCUCACGGUUAUGCCUGUCCAAGCGUCAAGUCAGAGGGGGUAGGCAAAUCCGCCCCCUCGAAACCGCCCUUGGUCGCCUUCGGGCGGCUGGGGGCGAACAGGCGAGGCGCGAUGGCGAGCCCCGCAAGGGGCGAAGGGAGAGCGAUUCAGCGGCCGAGAAAAGCCUCUAGCCAGCCAAUUCGGAGCCCGUACCGCAAACCGACACUGGUAGGCGAGGAGAGUAUCCACAGGUGAGCGAGCCAACCCUCGUCAAGGAACUCGGCAAAAUGGCCCCGUAACUUCGGGAUAAGGGGCGCCUUCCCUCAAGGAAGGCCGCAGGAAUCGGCUCAGGCGACUGUUUACCAAAAACACAGGUCCCUGCCAACCCGAAAGGGGAUGUAUAGGGGCUGAAACCUGGCCACUGCCGGUAGGUCAAGGGGAGGGGUGCAAGCCCUAAACUGAAGCCCCGGUGAAGGCCGGCCGUAACUAUAACGGUCCUAAGGUAGCGAAGUUCCUUGUCGGGUAAGUUCCGACGCGCAUGAAAGGAACAACGACUUGAGCGCUGUCUUGACGAGGGGCUCGGUGAACUCGAAGCACGGGUGAAGAUUCCCGUGACCUGCGGUGGGACAGAAAGACCCCGUGGAGCUUUACUGCAGCUUGGCGUUGAGUUUCGGCAUCCGCUGUAGAGGAUAGGUGGGAGGCUGUGAAGCCUGGGCGCUAGCUCGGGUGGAGCCAACCUUGGAAUACCACCCUGCGGCUGUUGAGGCUCUAACCAGGGGCCGUGAAGAGCGGCUUCGGGACCGCGCUAGGUGGGCAGUUUUGCUGGGGCGGCAGCCUCCUAAAGGAUAACGGAGGCGCACAAAGGUCCCCUCAGGCGGGUUAGCGAUCCGCCGUGGAGUGCAAGGGCAGAAGGGGGCUUGACUGCGAGGCCCACAAGCCGAGCAGAGGCGAAAGCCGGUCCUAGUGACCCACCGGUUCCUCGUGGGAGGGCCGGUGAUCAUCGGACAAAAGUUACCCCGGGGAUAACAGGCUAGUACCGCCCGAGAGUUCACAUCGACGGCGGUGUUCGGCACCUCGAUGUCGGCUCACCCCAUCCUGGGGCUGAAUCAGGUCCCAAGGGUCGGUCUGUUCGCCCGUUAAAGGGGUUCAUGAGCUGGGUUCAAACCGUCGUGAGACAGGUUGGUCCCUAUCUACCGCAGGCGUAGGAGGCUUGAGGGGGUCCGCUCUCAGUACGAGAGGACCGGAGCGGCUGGGCCGCUGGCGUACCAGUUGUCCCACCCGGGGCAUCGCUGGGUAACUAAGCCCAGACCAGAUAAGAGCUGAAGGCAUCUAAGCUCGAAGCUGACCCCAAGAUGAGGCCUCCCCAUCAGGGCCCUCCGAGACCAGGAGGUUGAUAGGCCGCAGGUGGAAGCCCGGUAACGGGUGGAGCCAAGCGGUACUAAUCGCCCGAUUGGCUUGCGU
This 3003-nucleotide ribosomal RNA is filed under the name hot springs metagenome. RNAcentral's name for it is "bacterial LSU rRNA". It matches the Rfam family "Bacterial large subunit ribosomal RNA". The record is from RNAcentral.